This 21-nucleotide non-coding RNA is filed under the name Caenorhabditis elegans. The record is from RNAcentral. Lineage: Eukaryota; Metazoa; Nematoda; Chromadorea; Rhabditida; Rhabditidae.
UCGUAAAUUUUCACAUGUAAA